UAACAUGCUGCGCAUUUCCUUUCUUGCU
Molecule: small RNA, 28 nt
Filed under: Bombyx mori (domestic silkworm)
Lineage: Eukaryota; Metazoa; Arthropoda; Insecta; Lepidoptera; Bombycidae
Description: ovarian small RNA-18660
Source: RNAcentral